GUAAAAAUCUUAACCAAUGGGAGAAGCCAGUUUAGAAGGGUGAGGAUAACUAAACUGUUAAUCUCCACCGUUUGAUAAACUUCAAUCUAACGGAUACAAUUAUUAUUUAUUCUUUAUUCUUUUUGUUUUCCAAGUCACGACGUUUGCUUUUCUUCUGGUAGAUCUCAAUUUUAAUUAUCAUCUCUGUAAUCUCUUCUCACAUUCCUCUGCAAUCUCAUCUCAUAAAUCUCUCUUAACGUUCUCUGCAAUCCUUUUCCUUCUGGUGAAGCUCCUCACAUCCUCCUUUUGAAAUCGUCACUCGUGACCACAACACCACCACCGACACCACCACCAUCUCCAUCCGACACCACCACCACUCGUCACCAACAUCGCCAUAACAGAGGAGGUAUGGCGUUGUGGUGUUAGAUAGUCAUGUCACUUAGGUGAACGGGAUGAGCUUGCCGUGAUGAAUGCGGCAGAGACAACGACUCGUUAGAUCUGAAGAAGCUGUGGUGUGAAGAUGGCAGAAGUUAGGGGUCGUGGUGUGGAGAUGGAGCCAAGCACGAAGAAGAUAGAGGUGGUGUGAAGAUGGGAGAUGGAAGAAGAAGAACAGAGAGGUGGGGGAGGAGCCGAGAAAGAAGAAGAACAAAGAGGUGGUGGUUGCGGCUCUAUUAGGUUUAGACAUUGUAGGUUUAAUUUUUUUUUUUGGUUUAGCUUGGUUUAGUUUUUUUGGUUUAGCUUGGUUUAGUUUUUUUGGGUUUAGCUUGGUUUAGUUUGUAUACCGGUUAACUAAUUUUGAUUUAUAAAGUUUUUUAAAUA
Raphanus sativus (radish) is the source of this 798-nucleotide long non-coding RNA. RefSeq lists it as uncharacterized. NCBI's taxonomy places the organism in Eukaryota, Viridiplantae, Streptophyta, Magnoliopsida, Brassicales, Brassicaceae. The transcript is spliced from 2 exons. The record is from RefSeq and is a predicted model, not a curated record.